AAGUCGGGAUGUUAUUCGAGCUGAAAUGCGAAGGAAAAGGGCCAAUUGUAAUGAGUAUGGUGCUCGUGUUGAUGCUGCCAUAUCAGAAGAGAUACCAGCUCGCGACUUGCUUAAGGCCAAACGCAAGGAAAUAGACGCUGUUCUAUCUCUGAUUAACAGAGUGAAGAGUGCCUUUUCUGUUGAGGAUAUUGAUGGCAAGAUACGUAAUAUGGAACGUAUGAUACAGCAUGAAACCCUGCCCUUAAAGGAAGAAAAGAAUUAUAUCCGUGAAAUCAAGCAGUUGAAGCAAAUUCGUGAACAGCUUUCUUCUAGUUUAGGUAACCAGGAGGAUGUUCUGGAGGCUAUAGAUCAGAAAGACCAAGUUGAAGAACGCUUGAAGCUUUUGAGGAAAGAAGCAGACCAAUUGAGAGAAAAUGUUCUCAAAGCUGAAGCAGCCAUUACCAGAAAUGCCAAGAAGACAUGUCAAGAAGAAAAUGCUGCUCUUAAUGAAUUGACAACUCGGUUUAGAGCUGCGGAUGACACACGGCAGGAAGCAUAUGCACAUCUACAGAGUUUGAGGAAGAGAUUAUAUGACAAGAACAAAUACUUUUGGAAGUACAGGGAUGAUUCAAAGGUAGCUUAUGAUUUAGCGUCCAAGGGAGAUAAAGAGGAACUUCAAAAUCAUUGUGUUAACCAGGUGGAGAUGGUUAUGGAUUUAUGGAACAAUAUUGAUGAAUUCCGGAGAGAGUACACUAGAUGCAACAUGAAGAGUACACUGAAGAGACUGCAGACAUUAGAUGGUCGUUCACUUGGCCCUGAUGAGGAGCCACCUGUAAUUCCCGAUGCUGCUAGUGAAAGAAUAGCCAAGGACAACAUCGUACCUUCCAUUUCCACUCUUGAAGGAGAAAAAACAAUUGUGCCUGUGGUGACAGAAAAGACAGAUGAUAAAUCCACAGCCAAGGUUGGGGACCAAAAUAAUCCAACAGCUAAAUCUGGAAAGGCUACAAAACAUGUUCCUUCGGGAAAUGGCUUGGCAACUGUGUCUGGCAGGAAUGAGAUUGACGAGACGGAGCAAAAGGAGGAUAAGCAAACAAAGGAGG
RNAcentral lists this unclassified non-coding RNA (1079 nucleotides) under Hevea brasiliensis (rubber tree). Lineage: Eukaryota; Viridiplantae; Streptophyta; Magnoliopsida; Malpighiales; Euphorbiaceae. The record is from RNAcentral.